RNAcentral lists this ribosomal RNA (253 nucleotides) under uncultured bacterium. RNAcentral describes it as "partial 16S ribosomal RNA". It matches the Rfam family "Bacterial small subunit ribosomal RNA", at positions 524 to 776 of the family's 1533-position model. The record is from RNAcentral.
GACGUAGGGCGCGAGCGUUGUCCGGAUUUAUUGGGCGUAAAGAGCUCGUAGGCGGCUUGUUGCGUCGGCUGUGAAAACCCGCGGCUUAACCGUGGGCUUGCAGCCGAUACGGGCAGGCUAGAGUUCGGUAGGGGAGACUGGAAUUCCUGGUGUAGCGGUGAAAUGCGCAGAUAUCAGGAAGAACACCCGUGGCGAAGGCGGUUCUCUGGGCCGAUACUGACGCUGAGGAGCGAAAGCGUGGGGAGCGAACAGG